CGGACCGGCGCACGGUGAGUAACGCGUAUGCAACCUACCUAUCAGGAGGGGAUAACCCGGCGAAAGUCGGACUAAUACCGCAUAAAACAGGGGUUCCACAUGGAAAUAUUUGUUAAAGAAUUAUCGCUGAUAGAUGGGCAUGCGUUCCAUUAGAUAGUUGGUGAGGUAACGGCUCACCAAGUCCACGAUGGAUAGGGGUUCUGAGAGGAAGGUCCCCCACACUGGUACUGAGACACGGACCAG
RNAcentral lists this ribosomal RNA (243 nucleotides) under uncultured bacterium. RNAcentral describes it as "partial 16S ribosomal RNA". It matches the Rfam family "Bacterial small subunit ribosomal RNA", at positions 91 to 334 of the family's 1533-position model. The record is from RNAcentral.